UAGGGAAUAUUCGACAUGGGCGAAAGUCUGAUCUAGCAACCCCGCGUGUGCGAAGGAGGCCUUCGGGUCGUAAAGCACUUUUUGGCAGGAAUAGGAAGGAAUGUACUUCCAGAAUAAGUCUCGGCUAACUACGUGCCAGCAGCCGCGGUAACACGUAGGAGGCAAACGUUAUCCGGAUUUACUGGGCGUAAAGCGCGUGUAGGUGGUACUGUAAGUAGGGCGUGAAAGCUCCUGGCUCAACUGGGAGAGGCCGUUCUAAACUACAGAACUAGAGGAUGGUAGAGGGAGGUGGAAUUCCAGGUGUAGCGGUGGAAUGCGUAGAUAUCUGGAGGAACACCGGUGGCGAAGGCGGCCUCCUGGACCAUUCCUGACACUCAGACGCGAAAGCUAGGGUAGCAAACG
Molecule: ribosomal RNA, 402 nt
Filed under: uncultured prokaryote
Description: bacterial SSU rRNA
Rfam family: Bacterial small subunit ribosomal RNA
Source: RNAcentral